Long non-coding RNA from Neopsephotus bourkii (Bourke's parrot), 4762 nucleotides. RefSeq lists it as uncharacterized. The record is from RefSeq and is a predicted model, not a curated record. NCBI's taxonomy places the organism in Eukaryota, Metazoa, Chordata, Aves, Psittaciformes, Psittacidae. The transcript has 2 exons.
CACACCCCCACCCCUUUUUUUGUUUUUAAGUAAAUGUUUUUGGUUCUUUUUAAGUCCUCCCUAGGUUUCCGUACUAGGUCUCUUUAUUUCUGGUACACAGUUUUGUAGUUGAGGCACAAGUUCAUAAAAACUGAAAUAGCACUUCAGAGUUGGAAAAUGAAUAGGAUUGUCUGUGUAUCAAUUUCCUGUUAAUCACCAAAAUCCUCAGGAACUGCCUUUCAAAGGAAUUCUGAGGACAGCAGCCAGUAGGGAAGUUGGUCAGUGCCAGGGCAGAAGAAAAACAUAAGGCUCCUGCAGUGACAGCCCUGGCCUCAGGGUUCUGAUCUCCAUGCUUGCUCAGGAGGGUGAAAACAAGCACCAUCUCUGGAACGUUGUUUGUUCCGCUGGACUAUCCUCAUCUGUUUGCUCAGAGUAUUUCUUCAUGAGAUGGAAAUUCUGACCCUUGGUGAAGCUGUGCCAAACUGGGAGUGAUCACUUUGAGUAACAUAUGGUCGUGACUUUUAAAGAGCACUGGGAGCUGCACUUAGUGAUGCAUUAACUUGUAACCUCAGGAAAGGACACAAACUUGAGUUUCUGGCUGAAUACCAAAUGUUGCUUUGUAUAUGUUAAGAAUACUGAUAAAAUACAAAUCUCUGCAUAUCAGUGAUGUAAUUAGGAAUUCAGUCCCUGAGCAUGUACAUUCACAUGGCCCUAAAAAGAAAGUCCCUUGGGAAUGUAAGACAAAUGAAUCUGAUUAAUGAAUCUUUUUCUAACUUUCUUGUGUUUCUGCUCACCAAAUGUUCCUUUGAAAAGGUAAUUUCACUACCUGUGAAUAAGGUCCGUUGAUAGCAAUGGUAAUGGCCCAGUAACUGAUACUGUAUACUAACACUGUAUAUAACUUGUGCCAUCAUUGUAAAUGAACAUAACAUUAUGGGAGCACUUAAUUAGAGAUGCAGUUUGAGAAAUGCUCUCCUUUGAUUCCCAUCUUGUUUGUAUUAAGACUUGUGAUGUUGAUUGUCAUGCUAAACUGUUUUGAAACAUUCUUUAUUCUGUAGGUGUAGAACAAUGUCAUUUAUGUAUAGGUAUCUUUUAAUUAAUCUUGUUUAUAAUACUGCACUAUUCUGUAAAUAACAAGAUACCGCUUUCCAUGGGUUUGAAGAUUUGUGUUAUAGUUUAGUUGCCUUUUCUUAACAAUUUAUGUACCGUUACCUAUUAUUUUGAAAAUGACAGUGUUUAAUGAACCAGUAAAUGCAGAAAUGUAGCUGUAGAAGAAAACUUUGCUUAGAAUUCUUGAGAGCCUGUAUUCAGUGCUGAACAGUUACGUGUGUGGAGCAUUGCUAAAGUGGCAGUUAACUCAUGCAAUGAUUUCCUUGCUUGUUAACUCUGUAAAUAAUUUGCACUUACAGCCUGCUGUGUUAGAGAAGUUAUUUUUUAGAGGCACUAGAAAAGAACAAAUCAACUUUGGUUUAAUGAAAAUGUACCAUUUUUCUAAGAAGGAUGUGUUAAAUUUGGAAGUUGCAUUCCUGAGCCACCUGUUUUCUAAUGCAUUUCACUUGGGUAUAGAUGAAUUCAAAGAUUUAAACUCUCACUGUUAAGCAUAUCUAACUGCUUACAGUUCAUGGGCUUGAGCAGCAAGUUGUGUGGUUUCUGGUUGUGGGUUUUGGGGUGGGUUUUUUUUUGUUUUGGCUAGGAGAGAAACUUAUUAAUGCCAUCUAGUAUAAUCAAAAGAUUUCCAUCAUAAAUGGUAAUAGGUUUGGUAUCUACGAAGUAGAGAUACCUGCACAAAGAUGUAACUUCAGUCUAACUAUACAUGGGCUCAAAGCUAAUAGUUCGCUCCACUAAACAGAUAAUUAUCUCUUAAGCAUUUCACUCUUAAAAAGAAAUGAGAGUAAAUGUUUUUCUUCUCCAUUUUGAUGUGCACUUCAUGAAUUGCAUCCUUCUGUUCCUAGCAGUAUGAUGUUAAUUGAAAAGAAAGUUGAUGCUUCCUUGCAGCAUGGCUUCUAGAAGGUUCUGGAUAGAUAACUUCAGGACUAUGUUACAAUGCAGCAUAUAGCUGCCUGCUUUUAGAUAUCCCAUGCAUUCCCUCAUUUUACAGCCAUCAAGCGUGUAACAUUGCCUGGUAAUCGUCUAGUUUUCCCUGUAGGCUCCCUUCUCAGUAAUGCUUCAGUAGAUGUAAUUUGUGGAACCUCUUCCACUUGUACCAUCAGAUGAUCAAUUUCAUACUAUGUGCCUGGUAUGCAUUUUGAGGAUUAGGCAUUGUGCUUGCCACUCUAGCACCAAGGGUCCAGAGCUGUAGCAUUUGUUUUUAGUUGGCACCAAUGCAGUUCCUGUCAAAGAUUGCUUUUGUUUUACUCUCUGCAACAGAGAUACCUUCAAUGCAGAUUGUUGACAUGGACCCUUACUAUAGUCAAGCUUUUUAAUGGUAUUUUUAACACUGCAAAUUUUUGAGAGAGGUUGAUGUAGGAAGAGGAGGUGCUCAUCUUCACAGAGGUUCAGAGGAAGCUAUGGUCACCUGUGCUUGAGAGCAAGGACACUGCUGACUGCUCCAUCUUCUUCCUCAAAAUAGUUGAGCUCACCACAUUAUCUUAGAUAAUCUAAGAUAAUCUCAAUUUAUCCUGCUUUUUUUUUUUUUUUUUUUUAAUUUGAGCUGCAAGGACAAAACAAGAUGCAGUCCCGCUCCCUGUGACUUCAGGUUUCCCUCCUGCCCAAAGCACAGUGGUGAGCUGGAGCUGUUGCUCUCAGUGGGUAGGCAGAGCUGUGAACUUAGGUCAGCUCCGAAGAGAGGCAAGAGAGAAACUCGUUGGGGUGGGAUGAAAGAUGACACGGUGUGUUUGGGCUUUGUGCGUUUGGCUGGGCUUGCUGAAACCAAGAUGUUCUGGAUGCUUGGAAGUCUGCAAUUCCAGUUUGAAACUCAGGUGGUAAAAAUACUUCAUGUUGUCUACACUGAACUAAGUUGAAGCAAUAAAGGUGCAUAUAUGUUCAUGAUGUUCUAGUGGCAAUGUUCAUGAAAGCCAGAGGUUCAUUUUUCCUAAUUGUCCAACUCGGGAACUAUAUGUGGAUUUGUUGGUUUGUUGUUAUUUUCUACCACUGAAGAUGGCAAAAGCCAAUUCAAGAGCAUUAAGAAACUCCCAAGACUUUGCACUGUGAGGCAAAAUGAGUAUUUUCAUCUGAAUGUAGUCUCAUGCACACAAGAAAGUACAAAUGAAAUGGUUUGUUGUGCCUGGUUAAAGAAAUCUGAGCAACAUACACUCAUAAAAGACGUCUACAAUGUAAGAUGAGAUUUUUAAGCAGAAAUUUGCUAUCUGAUUGGGGGCCAAGCAGUGAUUUUAUUUUAACAUGCCUAGCACACAAGUUUCCUCAGUGUUGCAUUAUUUCAGGUGGCAUUAAUAAAAAUGCAUCUGACUGUCAGUUCAUUAUGACUGUGUCAGUGCUGUGAGCAUUGCCACAACAGUCAACAGCCUCCUACCAACCUCAGACCAGAUGUGUGACUUGGAUGUUCUUUGCACACUGGCUGUCCUCCCUAACUAACAUUACACAUAAAGUAUACAGCCCUGAUAAUAUUACUUAAGAACUUGUAUUUACAGGGACAUUUAUUUUUUUCUACUGUAAUGCUCCAGUCCAUGCUUAUAUGUUUAUGUGUGCCUAUCUGUGCAUGUGAAUAAUUCUGAAAUACUUUUCUGAUAGCGCUGUUAUAAGUAAUGCACAUAAAUGCUCCUCUGUACAGCAUGUUGAUAAUGUAAUUAUGGCUUACUUUGUAUUAUUAGUUCCAAAGAAAAUACUGUGUGUUAAUUUUGAAAAGACCUGUGCCUUGAAUUCACCUUCUAUUUUUAUCUAUUGUGAAAAAGAGCUUGGGUUACUUCUCCCAAUUUGUUGUUGUUAGGAUCAGCCUUACUGUCCAGACUCCUGAUGUCUUUCUAAGAGAAAUAAAUCUUACCAUUAGCUAACCAUAAUAGGUAAACCUCUUGUUUAGAAUAUGCUUAGAAUGCUUCCAUUAUUACAGGCUGUGGCAGAUUUAAACUAGGGAAAUCAGUGUUUGUCUCUUCCUAUUCUUCGUUUUCUGCGCUCCUCAGUUGCAGAGGGUUGGAGUUUAGUCUUUGACUUCCUGUCCUUAACAUGUACAGUUUCUUGUUUUAGUCAGCAGCCUCUACGCUCUUUCUGAACACUCUGACUUGUCAGUCAUGAACCUCUUGUUCAAUGUAUGUAAUAUGAAGCAAUAAUACGGUGCAGCAUGACAAUAAGGAAAUCAAGAGACUUGAAUGUAAUGUAUUAUUACCAAGUUCAUCUGUGCAAAUGCUGGACCUGUGAGUCAUUCUCCUCAUGGUGCACCUGUAGCAAUUUGGAGUUGGAUUAAUAGGAGCUACUUGGACAUGGAAAGAGAAUUUACCUCCUGAACUGUUACUCCUAUGAUAUCUUCACCUGAAAUCAUGUUCUGAUUUUCCUUUUUGCUAAGGAAAACAGCAUUUCGUUAUUCCUUGCCAGUUCCUUUAUUUAAUGAAACAUAAAAGGCAUAGUUCUGCAAAGAGCUGAUACUGUCUUCAAGAACAACCUGGUGCAGCACAAAGGACAUUUGAACAAAAGAAGUGCAGACCACUUACUGUGUGCCAGAGUCAGUGUAACAUUAUCUCACAUAUAACAUUAAGGUCUUCAGAUUGUGCUGGCAGUAGGAAAGUGAUUUUGUAAUGUAGCACAACUGCAAUAACACCUGUUAUAUUUAAAUAUAUUUCUUGCAUAAAUCUUUGAAAAUUUUUUAAAGUUCAGUGUACCUAAUAAACAUUUUGCCUUU